Molecule: non-coding RNA, 299 nt
Organism: Manis javanica (Malayan pangolin)
Lineage: Eukaryota; Metazoa; Chordata; Mammalia; Pholidota; Manidae
Source: RefSeq, a predicted model, not a curated record
CUGGCGAGCUGGAGCAGAGCCUGCUACUGGAGAAGGCGCAGGCCCAGCGGCUGCUCCGAGAAUUAGCAACAACAGGGCCUUCAGGACAAGCUGACCAAGAGGGACAAAGAGGUGACAGCCUUGAUGUCCCAGACCAAGAUGCUCAGGGCCCAAAUAAGUGCACUGGUGAGCAAGUGUAAGUCAGGAGAGAAGAAGGUGGACACCCUGUAGAAGGAGAAGCAGCAUGUGGAGGCAGACCUAGAGGCUGUGUCCCGGAAGACCCAUGAUGCCUCGGGCCAGCUGGUCCUCAUCAGCCAGGA